CGCCCAGCAGCUAGCCUUAACCCACGCCUAAAAGAAACUACUAACCAGGCUAAAAGGACACCAACCCCACCCUAAAACAUUCUCCCCCCUAAGUAUAGGAGAUAGAAAAGGACACGAUGAGCAAUAGAGAAAGUACCGCAAGGGAAAGCUGAAAGAGAAGUGAAACAAACCAUGCAAGCCCUGAAAAGCAGAGAUUACACCUCGUACCUUUUGCAUUAUGAUUUAGCCAGACAAGCUUAGGCAGAGAGCUCUGCAGUCUAAGACCCCGAAACCGGGUGAGCUACUCCGGAACAGCCUAUAAAGAAGGGCACACCCGUCUCUGUCGCAAAAGAGUGGGAAGAUUCCUGAGUAGAGGCGAUAAACCUACCGAACCCGGUUAUAGCUGGUUGUCUGGGAUAUGAAUAGGAGUUCAGCCCCCUGGACCCACAGUCCAACAAAUACACAAGGGCCCCCACAGGCCCGGGGGAGUUAUUCAGAGGGGGUACAGCUCCUCUGAUAACAAGAUACAACUUUAAAAGGUGAGUAAGGAUCAUAACUUAUUAUAAGGCCUCGUGCUGUAGUAGGCCUGAAAGCAGCCAUCUAUGUAGAUAGCGUUAAAGCUCAAGCACAUUUAACCCACCCAUGCCGAUAGCUCAAUCCCAACCCCCUAACCCUACCAGACCAUUAUGUACUCUUACAUAAGUGAUUCUGCUAAUAUGAGUAAUAAGGGGCUCCAAACGGCCCCCUCCUGGCACACGUGUAUAGCGAAACGAACCCUCAUCGCCAACUAACGACGCCAAUACAAGAGGCAACUGGGCCACGAAUUAAACACUUAAAAGACCACCCAGUACACACACGUUGACCCCACACCGGAGUGCACCAAGGAAAGACUUAAUGAAGAAAAAGGAACUCGGCAAACUAGGGCCUCGCCUGUUUACCAAAAACAUCGCCUCCCGCGCACAUGAAAUGGGAGGUCCCGCCUGCCCCGUGACUAUACGUUUAACGGCCGCGGUAUUUUAACCGUGCAAAGGUAGCGCAAUCACUUGUCUCUUAAUUGGGGACCCGUAUGAAUGGCAUAACGAGGGCCCAGCUGUCUCUUUCUUCGAGUCAAUGAAAUUGAUCUUCCCGUGCAAAAGCGGGCAUGAACACACGGGACGAGAAGACCCUGUGGAGCUUGAAACAAUUGGGGAUUCAGAUCAAACACCCCUCCCAAGGGGACUAGCACGCUGACCCUUCCUCAUAUGUUUUCGGUUGGGGCGACCAAGGGAUACAACGGAACUCCCACGUGGAUUGGAGUACACUCCACAGCCAAGACCCGCUCGUUUAAGCACCAGAAUAUCUGACCUAUAGAUCCGGCAAAGCCGAUCAACGAACCAAGUUACCCCAGGGAUAACAGCGCAAUCCUCUUUUAGAGCCCUUAUCGACGAGGGGGUUUACGACCUCGAUGUUGGAUCGGGACUCCCUAAUGGUGCAGCCGCUAUUAAGGGUCUGUUUGUUCAACGGUUAAAGUCCUACGUGAUCUGAGUUCAGACCGGAGUAAUCCAGGUCGGUUUCUAUCUGUGAAAACACCUCUGCCUUGUACGAAAGGACCGGCAAAGGGGGGUCAAUGCUGCUAGUACACCCCGCCCCAAAUCGCUGACUACAACUAAAGUGAGUAAUGGGGCAGCCCCGUUAGCCGAAGAAUACGGCAC
Molecule: ribosomal RNA, 1670 nt
Filed under: Carapus bermudensis
Lineage: Eukaryota; Metazoa; Chordata; Actinopteri; Ophidiiformes; Carapidae
Description: 16S rRNA
Rfam family: Bacterial large subunit ribosomal RNA
Source: RNAcentral